ACCUGGCUGGCUCAGUUGGUGGAGCUUGAGACUCUUGAUCUCGGAGUUGUGAGUUUGAGCCCAACGUUGGGUG
Non-coding RNA from Ailuropoda melanoleuca (giant panda), 73 nucleotides. NCBI's taxonomy places the organism in Eukaryota, Metazoa, Chordata, Mammalia, Carnivora, Ursidae. The record is from Rfam.